GGUUCACCUGCACGUUGGCAGCCAGAAGCUCAUCAGUCCCUGGGGGUGGGUGAAGGGUGCUGAACUGGGGGCCGGGGGAACCCAUUCACCUAUACACACCAUCACAUGGGGAGUUCACCUGCAGGGUUCAACAGGCCUAGUUAGGAGAAACUUAGAGAUAGAUUUUCAUGGAGCCUGUGACUCUCUAGAACCUUGGAGAAUUACCUUUGGACCUUAUGCAAAUUGAUAUAAAGCAUUCUAAACAUCCUUCUUAACUCCAUUAGAACUAAGUGAAACCAGUUGGCUUGUUACUGGCUGUGGCCCCAGGUGAUCAGGAAGUUCAGUGUUGAUAUGCCCAGACCCCAUUCAGAACCACUUAGUCCUGAGCCCACUUUCUCCGUGCUUGGUUUGUCACCCAUGGAGAGCAGCUGUGCAUGCUGGAAGCUUGAGGCCCCAGGUGUGGGAUGAGGUGGGGGUGGCAUGUAGCUUUGGCACCUAAGCAUUCUUGACAAAACAGCAGGGAGCUGUCAGGAGUCUUAAGUGCUGAGAGCCUGAUGCUCUGCCUUGGGCUCCUCCCUGGGAAGCACCGAUGUGCACCAGAACUGCCCAGAUGGGGCCACUGCACUGCGACAGGUAAAAAGUGUAUUUCCUACCUUGGUGGUUAGUUAGCAGGUUCUGUAGAUGUCAUUUUGAUGAAUCUAUUAAAAGUUUCCUUAAACGACAUGUGUCUUCCUGAUGGGUCGCCUCCCAUCAAACAGCCAGUUGCCACCCCACAGGCUACUACCGUACAGCGUGCCCCUGAAUGUGACCAUCCACUGACUGUGUCAAAGCCGAACAGUGACCUGGGUGGAUCUUGAGUGCAGGUGUAGCUGGGUUCACAGGCUUUGGGGUAAAUCUCCAUCUUCGGUCUGACACCGCUCCUGAAGCAGAGGUGUCUGUGGCCUCACAGUGGACAGAGUGCAUGUGUCAGGUGCAUGCGUGGGCAAGUGAGGUAAGCAGGUGCCCCGUGCCCAGCUCUGACCCAGCCCCUCUCCUGUGUUUCCUUGGCUCUGCCGCCUUCCCCCCCAGGUGCUGAACACUGGCUCUUCCUCAUGCCCUGGAGCAGUCUCACAUCCUACCCGGUGUUUAUUCGGCGAGAGUCAGCCAUUUUUCAACUUAAUAGCCCUCAGAAGCACAGGCCUGUAGGUGUGGGCGAAGUAUGAGAAGUCAGCAGGACGGUUGGGCCGGCAGGGCCGAGGGGAAAAUGCUCCCGGUGACGAGAGCGCAAGCAUAUGAGGUCCCCCACCACACAUGCCCCUUUUUGUUAAAUCACAUCAAAAGCCUCAACCCUGGCUCAAAAAUAUGGAAACGUGAGCACUGAUGAAGUGACAGUUUAAUAGGUCUUUCUAAGACUUCCAGCAAAUGACUGAAGAUGGGAGGCGCCUGCUGGUCACUCAAUGUAUGGAUGUCCAUGAGGACACGUGGCCAGGGCUCCCAGCCCAUCCUCAGCAGUACAGCAAGAGCGACUCAGAGGAGGCCUUGCACAGGGACGAGUGGACCAUCCAUCCAUUGCCACAAGCAGGGGGAAUGGCACCUUGUAGAGGGACUCCCGUGGGAGCCUGGCAUUCCAAACAGGAAGCACUGACUGAGCUGAAAUGAGGACUUCUCCCAUGUCACUUACACUUCUGAUUUGGGCUUACAGUAGUAUUGAGAUGUAACAGGGAAGCACUCUAGAAAAUCUGGAUAACACAGAACAUGCUGUGUGUCGGUCACCUGUGGUCUCAGUACUGAUUCCUGAAUUUAGGUGGACUUAAGAACGGUGCCCUGUGAGCAGGCAAGCCAUCACCACAGGAGGCCUGUCACAGCCAGGUGCUGCAACCAGGGCAGGGGACUUCUCCUGGGACACCCCACCACCACCUUUUAUGAGCACCUCUCCUGCUUGGGGUCCAUGACUCUCAAGAGCCCCAUGUAAAGUGACUGCUUCAGGGAGAUGUGGCGGGAAGGCAGCAGCAGCAGGAAUGAGAGGGAAUUCUUGACAUUUAGACCCCUGCCCUCACAGCCCCAGCAGCUUCCAUUCUGUCCCUUCAGAGCUGGAUGGUGCCAUGCUGACACCAGCCCUGCCCUGCCCUGCCCAUCCACUAGAGGGACCUGUGGAGCCCCUGGUGGGACAUGAAGGAAAUGCCGUAGGUCACUCCCAGGCCCGAUCUCAUUCAGAAAAACAAAACCUUUUCAUGUUUGCUCCCGCCCUACUCCUCUCCUACUGCCCACUUGGACCGUGACUGGCACCCUCCACACCCCUGCCAGUCAUUCCAGUGACCCCCAGGGAAAGUGUGCUUUCUCUCCACUGGGCCCUCAUGUGCUGUCCCCUCUUCCCAGGGGCCCCUUUGACAACCUCUGUUUCCUGGUCUCUGGGACUCCCUGUUUAACAAAACCAGGGCAACAGGCCUGCCCAUGAGGCCACGCUCCUCCAGGGCAUCAGCACUGAUGGGCUGACCACAGGGACCUCCACCGCUGGGCCUGAUUGGCCUCCGCACUGUGGGCCCAGCUGGGCGCUGACCACAGAGCAAGCCCAGUGAAAGCAGUUCCUCAGGUGAAAAAGGCCAGCAGUUGAGAGUGGUCAGCAACAUGGCCUUCCUGUAGGCGGGUGUUGGAAGAAACAGGAAGUCAUGUUCCUGCUCCCUAAAGGCCCCCUGAGGAGGAAUGGCUUCCAAUUGAUCCAAGCUGCUUUGCAUGGCAGGUGGGUGUGUGUGCCCAAGAGUCGUGGUCCUUGUGAGCUCCCGCUGACCACAGACCUGUAACAGCCCCAGAAACAAACUCACAGAUGGUGGUAAAGUUCAUAAAGAAACAGAAGGUGCAUGUGGAGCACGGGGGCAAAGCGGGCAGACACAUCACCUUUGCCAAGAAGUAGCAUUUGUGCUUCAACCAGAAAACCAGGCACCCGUGGGAGACAGGCACCCUAUGCCAGGAAGGGGCCUGGGUGGGACACAGUGUAAGACAGCACAUGCCGUGAGGGGUGGGACAUUGUGGCUGGGGCCAGAGGAGGAGCGGAGAGCCCAGGUGCAAUGGCCUGGCCCAUGUCAGAAUGAGUGCAGUGUUCACUUGCAGGCCCAGGUUGUGGCAUCUGGGGUGGCCUUGCUCAUGGGCCUGGCUGCUCUGCUUUAUGGUUAAAAUGGAGAGUUGGGAUCAUCUGGGAGAGGGUCUGGGGGUGGACAGGUUGGUAAGUUACCCUGGUGGAGCUGUUCCUUGCAGGAAGCAGGUCUCUGCAGCCCACCAGUUUUGUUGUGAGUGUUCUGGUUGCCUCUGACCAUCACUGGGAGUCUGGGAGUCAGGGAUUAACUGAAAACCCAGUAACUCCUAGAUAAUUCUUGGAAAUUCGUU
Molecule: long non-coding RNA, 3336 nt
Filed under: Marmota monax (woodchuck)
Lineage: Eukaryota; Metazoa; Chordata; Mammalia; Rodentia; Sciuridae
Source: RNAcentral